Molecule: ribosomal RNA, 374 nt
Filed under: uncultured bacterium
Lineage: Bacteria
Description: bacterial SSU rRNA
Rfam family: Bacterial small subunit ribosomal RNA
Source: RNAcentral
GACGAACGCUGGCGGCGCGCCUAAUACAUGCAAGUCGAACGGUCCGGCUUCGGCCGGACAGUGGCGGACGGGUGAGUAACACGUGGGUGACCUGCCCUGGAGUGGGGAAUAACUCUGCGAAAGCAGCGCUAAUACCGCAUACGCUUCCCGGUUCAGUCGGGGAAGCAAAGCCUUGUGCGCUCUAGGAGGGGCCUGCGGCAGAUUAGCUAGUCGGGUGGGUAAUGGCCUACCGAGGCGACGAUCUGUAGCUGGUCUGAGAGGAUGACCAGCCACACGUGGGACUGAGACACGGCCCAGACUCCUACGGGAGGCAGCAGUAAGGAAUCUUCCACAAUGGCCNCAAGGCUGAUGGAGCGACGCCGCGUGCGCGACGA